CCUGCAGUUACUUGCAACAUAGGGAGAGAUGAAAAUAAUGUGAAUAUUUGAAGACUACAUUUCAUGUAAAAAUGGAGCUAGUGAGCUAAAUGAAGAGUGAUUUUUCUUGUCCCAUUCAUAGGUAAAAGACAAAAUAAAAAAAAAUAAAGAAAAUAAGAGUUUCUGGUUAAGAAGAACUUCCCACCAAGAAAAUCUGGAUAAAAGCACUCUUGUGGGAUGUGAACUCCUAACCCAC
RNAcentral lists this long non-coding RNA (235 nucleotides) under Mus spicilegus (steppe mouse). RNAcentral's name for it is "lncRNA (ENSMSIG00000031771.1)". The record is from RNAcentral. Lineage: Eukaryota; Metazoa; Chordata; Mammalia; Rodentia; Muridae.